UGGGGAAUUUUGGACAAUGGGCGAAAGCCUGAUCCAGCAAUGCCGCGUGUGUGAAGAAGGCCUUCGGGUUGUAAAGCACUUUUGUCCGGAAAGAAAUCCUUGGCUCUAAUACAGUCGGGGGAUGACGGUACCGGAAGAAUAAGCACCGGCUAACUACGUGCCAGCAGCCGCGGUAAUACGUAGGGUGCAAGCGUUAAUCGGAAUUACUGGGCGUAAAGCGUGCGCAGGCGGUUUGCUAAGACCGAUGUGAAAUCCCCGGGCUCAACCUGGGAACUGCAUUGGUGACUGGCAGGCUAGAGUAUGGCAGAGGGGGGUAGAAUUCCACGUGUAGCAGUGAAAUGCGUAGAGAUGCGGAGGAAUACCGAUGGCGAAGGCAGCCCCUGGGCCAAUACUGACGCUCAUGCACGAAAAGCGUGGGGAGCAAACAGGAUUAGAUACCCUGGUAGUCCACGCCCUAAACGAUGUCAACUAGUUGUUGGGGAUUCAUUUCCUUAGUAACGUAGCUAACGCGUGAAGUUGACCGCCUGGGGAGUACGGUCGCAAGAUUAAAACUCAAAGGAAUUGACGGGGUCAUAGCUGUUUCCU
RNAcentral lists this ribosomal RNA (585 nucleotides) under uncultured bacterium. Its description in RNAcentral is "partial 16S ribosomal RNA". It matches the Rfam family "Bacterial small subunit ribosomal RNA", at positions 355 to 1375 of the family's 1533-position model. The record is from RNAcentral.